This 189-nucleotide non-coding RNA is filed under the name Chlorobium phaeobacteroides. Lineage: Bacteria; Pseudomonadati; Chlorobiota; Chlorobiia; Chlorobiales; Chlorobiaceae. The record is from RNAcentral.
CGAUUUUUGAUAAAGCAGGAUACCCCUUGACAGGGGUUUAAAAGGGAAUCACGUGAGAAUCGUGAGCUGACGCGCAACUGUAAGCCCACCGAGAUGUUUUGCGGCAAAGUGCCACUGUCCCGAUGAACGGGAUGGGAAGGCGUCGUAAAACGGGUAAGCCAGGAGACCUGUCUUGUUUUUUAUCCGGAA